RNAcentral lists this long non-coding RNA (784 nucleotides) under Homo sapiens (human). RNAcentral describes it as "HSALNT0158334". The record is from RNAcentral. Lineage: Eukaryota; Metazoa; Chordata; Mammalia; Primates; Hominidae.
GGUCUCAAACUCCUGACCUCAAGUGAUCUGCUUGCCUUGGCCUCCCAAAGUGCUGGGAUUACAGGCGUGAGCCACUGCAUCCGGCCAUUUUAGCUAUUUUUUAAGUGUGCAGUACAGCAGCAAAUUAUAUUCCCAUUGUUGGGCAACCGCCACACUCUAUCCGCAGGACUUUCUCAUCUUCCCCGGCUGAAACUGUGCCAGGACACAGGCACAGCUCCCGACUGACUCGAUCUUUGAAGAGUGGCUGCCUCUCAGUGACGGCAGUGGUUGAUGAGAAAAAGAGCCCAGGCAUUCAGAAAUGCUGAGUUUCCCUAAAAUCCACCUGGUUUCUGGGGCCUGUGCCACUGUGGGUGUUGGUAGACCUGUGUUGUUGCCUAGGAGAGCGAGCCCUGCAAAGGAGCCGGCACAGCCCUAGUUGGAGAAGCAGUUAACCACGGACUGGUCACACUGGGGCUGCCUCAGGCAGUGGGGGGUGGAGGAGAAACCACACAAGGCCAGAGGCAUCUCUGGGAACUCCUGAGCAUACCUUAGAACCAGCAGCCUCCUCCCGGCACGGGGAGCAUUGCGGAUCCUCACGUGGAGCUCGGUUGAGUUCAGCGCCAGGCUGUCUGGCGGUGACUCGGGCACGGGACAGAUCCUGACUUGCUGGAGCAUUCAGAGGUGUUCAUUAUGGAAUCCCUGUGGGUUUCCUGUCUCUGUCCUUCCGGCUUCAGUUCUCCAUCUCCCCAGGGAAUCCUCCCCAUGUAACAUCAGGCUGUGACUCAGCCCCCAGCAUCUUUCUCCC